Molecule: non-coding RNA, 548 nt
Organism: Callithrix jacchus (white-tufted-ear marmoset)
Lineage: Eukaryota; Metazoa; Chordata; Mammalia; Primates; Cebidae
Source: RefSeq, a predicted model, not a curated record
GUGCUUUAUUAAGCUAGCUAUCACUGUGUGUGGCUGGAGCUUAAUCCUGCAGGAGACCUCUGGAAUAUCGUAGAAAACACACACCUCAGAAUGACCCCAUCUGAGAGCUGCAUUGAUGAGGAAACUGAAACAGAAAAUCCAGAGUAAAUUCCACCAGGCCACACAGUGAGGCCUGAUAGAGCCAGGAGAGACUUUAUGAAAUCCAGACUCUCAGACUAAUGUUCUAUCAGCUAGACCUCCAUGUGAGUCUCCCAAUGUAGGUAGGAAGAGUUCUCCCUAAAAUGCUCAUAAAGCAAAUCAGAGCAAUGCUUCAUUCCAUGUGAUUUCUAAUUUGAAAUGCAAAUAAUUACCAAUUUGUUUGACUUGUAUUUAUAAUUAUUUCCUUGUGAAUUACUCAUCACUAAAUGCUUUAUAAAUAUUUUCUCUUUUUUUUCUCAAUGUCUAUGGAAUGAUCACGGCAUAGAAAAUGUUGGCUUUCAAGGAUUUAUUAAUAUCUCUUUUUGAAAUAACAUGUAUUUGUAAGAUAGAAUAAAAUCACUUUAAAGAAA